UAGCCAAAAAGAGGAGAUGCUAAUCCCACUGCUGGUUUCUUAAAUGCUUUUCAGGUCAGAAGAUGUUUUUAUAAUCAUGUGUCUAUGAUCAGAGACUUUUGGACAGAUACCAAAUCCAAACAUCAGCAAGGGGAACGGAGUGGAAUGGAAAAAUGGAUUUAUUCAUUCGUAGUCAAUAAAAAAGAGAAACUAAGGCACAGAGAGCCGAAUUGACUUCUCCAAACUCACUUAUGCCUUCCGCCUUUGAGAAACAACUUGCUUGCCUUUCACAGUGGUCAGUCGGACACAAGUUCCCAAGACAUAUGACCUACCCUAUCAGGCUCCCAGCACCGGGGACAUCCACUGCUGCUUUCCACAAUUGCCGUUUUCUUUCUGAUUAACUCCGAAGUGAGAAACAAGAGGGUAGGCAUCAGAAUUGCAUCUGAAAUUCAAGUGGAUACUUAAGGCAACUGUGCAUGAACUUUAGUGAAAAACUCCACACCAAAUCGAAACAUGCUCC
This 499-nucleotide long non-coding RNA is filed under the name Ornithorhynchus anatinus (platypus). RNAcentral's name for it is "lncRNA (ENSOANG00000036541.1)". Lineage: Eukaryota; Metazoa; Chordata; Mammalia; Monotremata; Ornithorhynchidae. The record is from RNAcentral.